Molecule: non-coding RNA, 57 nt
Organism: Biomphalaria glabrata
Lineage: Eukaryota; Metazoa; Mollusca; Gastropoda; Planorbidae
Source: Rfam
UGGCUGAGUAGUAAAGCACUUGUCUUCAGAACCGACGGUCCCGGGUUCGAAUCCUGG